Molecule: ribosomal RNA, 459 nt
Filed under: uncultured bacterium
Lineage: Bacteria
Description: partial 16S ribosomal RNA
Rfam family: Bacterial small subunit ribosomal RNA
Source: RNAcentral
CCUACGGGUGGCUGCAGUGAGGAAUAUUGGUCAAUGGGCGCGAGCCUGAACCAGCCAAGCAGCGUGAAGGUUGAAUGCCCUACGGGUUGUAAACUUCUUUUAUAAAGGAAUAAAGGGAGGCACGGGUGCCUUUGGUAUGUAUUUUAUGAAUAAGAAGCGGCUAACGCCGUGCCAGCAGCCGCGGUAAUACGGAGGAUCCGAGCGUUAUACGGAUUUAGUGGGUUUAAAGGGAGCGUAGAUGGGUUGUUAAGUCAGUUGUGAAAGUUUGCGGCUCAACCGUAAAAUUGCAAUUGAGACUGGCAGCCUUGAGUACAGUUGAGGUAGGCGGAAUUCGUGGUGUAGCGGUGAAAUGCUUAGAUAGCACGAAGAACUCCGAUUGCGAAGGCAGCCUACUAAACUGCCACUGACAUUGAUGCUCGAAAGUGUGGGUAUCAAACAGGAUUAGAUACCCUGGUAGUC